Long non-coding RNA from Magnolia sinica, 188 nucleotides. RefSeq lists it as uncharacterized. Lineage: Eukaryota; Viridiplantae; Streptophyta; Magnoliopsida; Magnoliales; Magnoliaceae. The transcript has 2 exons. The record is from RefSeq and is a predicted model, not a curated record.
UAUGGGGUAGUCCGACUGAGUGUUGAAUGAGCCUGAUAUUUGGAAUCAAGGCGAAACAAUGGGUGGUGUGCCUGAUGGAUGGCGUGGAUUUCAUGCAUGUCAAGUCAUUUCCCCCACAUUAGAGAAAUUAACCUAGUAGGUAUCUAGGCGAGGUCUGCAAGCGUUUUUCAUUUCCAAGAAGGGCAAAA